Molecule: long non-coding RNA, 212 nt
Organism: Carassius auratus (goldfish)
Lineage: Eukaryota; Metazoa; Chordata; Actinopteri; Cypriniformes; Cyprinidae
Exons: 3
Source: RefSeq, a predicted model, not a curated record
AGAUGCUUUCAUAGAUGACCUCAAUGAUCGACAGUCUCCUGCUUUCAUAAACAGGGCUAGGCUUGUUGAGGAUAUCCUUACACUUAAUUUGAAGAAGUUCCAUUCCUUCCUUAGAGUCACUGUGCUACUAUUCAGCAAGGGAUCAGUCAUCACCACAUCAGAACUUGCUUUCAACUCUAUUCAGACUGUGCCAUCAGAACUCCAAAUUGCAG